GACGACGCUGGCGGCGUGCCUAACACAUGCAAGUCGAACGGAGAUAUGCGAACGAGGCCGUUCGGGCGGAGAUUGCAUAUUUUAGUGGCGGACGGGCGAGUAACGCGUGAGCAACCUCGCCCUUCAGGUGGGGGAUAACGUAGACGAAAGUUACGCUAAUACCGCAUAUUCUGUGAGCAGGAAAGCAGGGGAUCGCAAGACCUUGCGCUGAUUGAGCGGCCGAUAUCAGAUUAGCUAGUUGGUGAGGUAAAGGCUCACCAAGGCGACGAUCUGUAGCGGGUCUGAGAGGAUGAUCCGCCACACUGGAACUGAGACACGGUCCAGACUCCGUACGGGAGGCAGCAGGUGGGGUAAUUUUGGACAAUGGGGGCAACCCUGAUCCAGCCAUGCCGCGUGAGUGAUGAAGGCCUUAGGGUUGUAAAGCUCUUUCAGUGGGGACGAUAAUGACGGUACCCACAGAAGAAGCCCCGGCUAACUUCGUG
This 482-nucleotide ribosomal RNA is filed under the name uncultured bacterium. Its description in RNAcentral is "bacterial SSU rRNA". It matches the Rfam family "Bacterial small subunit ribosomal RNA", at positions 33 to 507 of the family's 1533-position model. The record is from RNAcentral.